RNAcentral lists this ribosomal RNA (451 nucleotides) under uncultured bacterium. RNAcentral's name for it is "partial 16S ribosomal RNA". It matches the Rfam family "Bacterial small subunit ribosomal RNA", at positions 354 to 796 of the family's 1533-position model. The record is from RNAcentral.
GUGGGGAAUAUUGGACAAUGGGGGGAACCCUGAUCCAGCCAUGCCGCGUGUGUGAAGAAGGCCUUUUGGUUGUAAAGCACUUUAAGCGAGGAGGAGGCUACCGAGAUUAAUACUCUUGGAUAGUGGACGUUACUCGCAGAAUAAGCACCGGCUAACUCUGUGCCAGCAGCCGCGGUAAUACAGAGGGUGCAAGCGUUAAUCGGAUUUACUGGGCGUAAAGCGCGCGUAGGUGGCCAAUUAAGUCAAAUGUGAAAUCCCCGAGAUUAACUUGGGAAUUGCAUUCGAUACUGGUUGGCUAGAGUAUGGGAGAGGAUGGUAGAAUUCCAGGUGUAGCGGUGAAAUGCGUAGAGAUCUGGAGGAAUACCGAUGGCGAAGGCAGCCAUCUGGCCUAAUACUGACACUGAGGUGCGAAAGCAUGGGGAGCAAACAGGAUUAGAAACCCGUGUAGUCC